This 490-nucleotide ribosomal RNA is filed under the name uncultured bacterium. Its description in RNAcentral is "partial 16S ribosomal RNA". It matches the Rfam family "Bacterial small subunit ribosomal RNA", at positions 30 to 507 of the family's 1533-position model. The record is from RNAcentral.
AUUGAACGCUGGCGGCAGGCCUAACACAUGCAAGUCGAACGGUAACAGGAAGAAGCUUGCUUCUUUGCUGACGAGUGGCGGACGGGUGAGUAAUGUCUGGGAAACUGCCUGAUGGAGGGGGAUAACUACUGGAAACGGUAGCUAAUACCGCAUAACGUCGCAAGACCAAAGAGGGGGACCUUCGGGCCUCUUGCUAUCGGAUGUGCCCAGAUGGGAUUAGCUAGUAGGUGGGGUAACGGCUCACCUAGGCGACGAUCCCUAGCUGGUCUGAGAGGAUGACCAGCCACACUGGAACUGAGACACGGUCCAGACUCCUACGGGAGGCAGCAGUGGGGAAUAUUGCACAAUGGGCGCAAGCCUGAUGCAGCCAUGCCGCGUGUAUGAAGAAGGCCUUCGGGUUGUAAAGUACUUUCAGCGGGGAGGAAGGGAGUAAAGUUAAUACCUUUGCUCAUUGACGUUACCCGCAGAAGAAGCACCGGCUAACUCCGUG